AUUGAACGCUGGCGGCAAGCCUAACACAUGCAAGUCGAGCGGAUGAAGGGAGCUUGCUCCUGGAUUCAGCGGCGGACGGGUGAGUAAUGCCUAGGAAUCUGCCUGGUAGUGGGGGAUAACGUCCGGAAACGGGCGCUAAUACCGCAUACGUCCUGAGGGAGAAAGUGGGGGAUCUUCGGACCUCACGCUAUCAGAUGAGCCUAGGUCGGAUUAGCUAGUUGGUGGGGUAAAGGCCUACCAAGGCGACGACCCGUAACUGGUCUGAGAGGAUGAUCAGUCACACUGGAACUGAGACACGGUCCAGACUCCUACGGGAGGCAGCAGUGGGGAAUAUUGGACAAUGGGCGAAAGCCUGAUCCAGCCAUGCCGCGUGUGUGAAGAAGGUCUUCGGAUUGUAAAGCACUUUAAGUUGGGAGGAAGGGCAGUAAGUUAAUACCUUGCUGUUUUGACGUUACCAACAGAAUAAGCACCGGCUAACUUCGUG
Molecule: ribosomal RNA, 484 nt
Filed under: uncultured bacterium
Lineage: Bacteria
Description: partial 16S ribosomal RNA
Rfam family: Bacterial small subunit ribosomal RNA
Source: RNAcentral